CUGGCUUCUCCAUUCCAUCGGCGGCGCCCGCCUCUCUCCAUCUCGCUGGCUCGUGACGACGAGAACGAAGAAGAAGAGCUGGUUUAUUGGGUCUGUUUCCACUGUACCGCAACUCUUCUCGAUGCCUCCCUUCUCGAUUCCAUCAGCAGCGCCCGCUUCUCUUCCUCUCGCCGGCUCGUGACGACGAGGACGAAGAAGAAGAGCGGGUUUAUUCGGUCUUUUUCCACUGUACCGCAACUCUUCUCGAUGUCUCCCUUCUCGAUUCCAUCAGCGGCGCCCGCCUCUCUCCAUCUCGCCGGCUCGUGACGACGAGAACGAAGAAGAAGAGAGGAUCAUUUAACUUAUUAUCUGAUAAUGCUUGAAGGUUUUUCAGUCAUCUCUAUACUUGUAAAGGUUGGUUCCAUGUGCCUUUUCUUACUUACACUAUGGUCUAAUGCCAUAAGUAUAUUAUCAUCUUCUGGCCUCAAUCAAUUUUGAAUUGUCUUCACUGUGUGUGACCAGAUGUGAGUCCUAAAUAUGUUAAUAAAAAAUUGUCAUCAAAUUUUGGUUUAACGUGGCUUGCAAUGUCCCCUAGUUCUUAUUUCCUAUCAGACAAUAAUAAGAUUCAGAUUAUUAGAAGUGGUAAAGAUGGUGCAUUAAAUAAAUUUUGCAGCUUGCAAGCUCAAACAACUGUAUAUUAUGUUAGCAGCCAAGAAUCUAUGCGUAAAUAUUACUAUUUGUAAAUGGUUAAGCUGAACCCGCACCCCCAAAUGCUAUAUUCAUCCAAAAAGACCUAGGCAGCAUGUUUGCUGAUGUGGCUUGUUGAUUGGGAUUAAGGUCAUAUUGCUAUAAAUUUAUUGGGACUAGGGUCAAUUGCUUAAUUAUUUAGGGUUUCUAAGUUCCCUUUUGAACCAACAUCUAUUGAUGUAAUCCUUUUUCAUUACACCUUGAAGUAUGCAGUUUAGUGGAUGUUGUCUUUGUUUGUGGUUUUGGAUGUGUAAUAUUUCUUACCUUAAAAUCUGCAAAUCCUGAGAAAAGCAAGUCAAGAAUUGUAGUGCCAGUUUCUGACCCUUUUUUGUACUCAAUAUAUUAUUUCUACCUUUGGUUGGUUUCUUAAAGUUAUUGCAUCUACAAUUACAAGUUACAUUGAUUUUUUCCCCCUCGGCAAGAACUCAUCAAUUAAUGAUAUUAUAGAUAUUCUUGUUGUGCUGGUUGUUUCUAAAGUGCUGAGAGAUUUAAAACUGAAACUGUGUAAGGUUUGUUUUUGCAAAUCUGGAACUCAUUUUCAAGAUGGUUUUUGUUUCCAGUUUAGAGGUAGAUAUCUCGAAGUAAUAUCAACAUUAAUAAUAGAUUGCACCAUUGUGUAUGCUGGGAUAGAACUUGAUCACAAAUCUUGCUUGUUGUGUAAAAUAUUAUUGUGGAACUACUAAGAAAUAUAGAUAACAAAACUGACUUCUACCAUGUGUAUCUUAACAUUCUUGCCUAUACGUCAGUUGAAUAUUUUUAAUUUUUAUUUAUCACUUGUAUUUCUUCCCCUAAUUUGUAGUAGUUCAAUAGUGUGUUCAAUUUUCCUGGUAGAAAUCCCUUUUAAUUUAUCUUUAGGUUACUUUCUGUUUUUUCCCUUCCCUUUCCCCGUUUUUAUUUCAUUUCAUGUAUUUAUCAUUAUCACUUGCAGAAGUUUCUUAUAUAUGCUUUUAUGGUGAGGUGUGUUGUUGUUUUAUUUUUUUAUUUUUAUUUUUCACUUUGGAGCAUUAUGGAUGAAUUUUUUUAGUUUGGAGGUCACCAUAGUUUAUUCUCUUGUAGUUCACAACUUCUAAUGACUACGUGUUAUUGGCUAAUGUGGACAGAUACAGGUCAAAUAUCUAAUCAAUUUUUUUUUCUUUUUCUUGGUUUGGAUGCCAUUAUUUAGUAGGAAAAUUGCGAACAUAUUUGUUAUGCCUUUGUUAGAGUUAAUCUAUUUUUUAUAGUUAGUUUUGAUCUUUAUCGUAUUUGUUAGUUUGUUAACUUCAUCCCUCUCUAUAUAUUGUUAGUCUUUACGGAUAUUUGAGGAGUGGGAAAUUUAUUUAUCUGGUGUUGAGUUUAUGAGCACGUUUGGACCUUGUGCAAAAUAUUAUCCUAGACCUUCCAAUA
Long non-coding RNA from Dioscorea cayenensis subsp. rotundata (Guinea yam), 2109 nucleotides. RefSeq lists it as uncharacterized. Lineage: Eukaryota; Viridiplantae; Streptophyta; Magnoliopsida; Dioscoreales; Dioscoreaceae. The record is from RefSeq and is a predicted model, not a curated record. The transcript has 4 exons.